UUGCUAAGAAUCGGACUCCGUAUCUCCUACAUGGAAGCAAGCAUCGAAUCAGCCGACAUGGUCCACUUUCUCUCUCACCUCAAUCCAAUCCGUAACUUCAAAAUUCCCAAUAUACCCUACUUUCCCUCUCAAGUUUCCCUUGCUGCUCGAAUCUUCCAUGGCUUGACUCAAAAACCCGACGCAUAUGGACUCUGCAAAGUUUCCCUCGAGUCUUGACUCUUUCCUCCUCAGCCUCCUCCGUCGUCAACGCUAAACUCGGCUCCGACCAUGACCUAACUCAAGAACGGAGUAUCGUACCCGAGUUUCUGACUCUGCGAUGAUUUGGAGCGAAACCCAAUCCACCUCAAUCGCACCCUCGAAUCAAGCCUGGCAUCAUACGCUUCCUUCUCCGAUCGCAUUGUUGACUUCUUUGGCGUUGUAAAUUCGAAAUUUGCCGAUCUAGGAUCCUCCGUUUGUUCUCGGAGCUCCGUUUCUGGUUCCAAUCAAUAUGGAGAAGGAUUGGGGAGGAGCUGCCGGCAUUGGCCAAGGAAGUGGCGACGGUGGAAACCAUCCGAGCAUAUGCCGUUGCUUUGUUUGUGUUUCUUUUGGAUCUAUCAAUGUCGGUCUAGUCUGUUAGCCACUAUGAUAUAUCUCUUAUAUCUCUCCGUUAGCAACUAUGACAUGACUCCAUGCCCAAGCCUGCCACCACUUCCCUCACCCCAACUAAAGAUUUGCCCGUCUUGUGACUAAAACAGCAUGCUUAUUUCCACAAGAGAUAUUGUCAGCAUCUAAGAGCACAGUUGAUUCAAGAGCCUUGGUUGAAAGUACAUCUAUUCUGGUAACAGUAGUUUGAGUUUUAUGCACACUGCCACAAGCAGUCCAUUACCAGUUCCUUCUCCCCCCCCCCCCCCCCCAAAAAAAAAAAAAAAUCACCUAAUGCUUAAAAAUCCUCAAAAGAUGAUCACUGGCUGGAUGAACUCACUGCCCUGGAUAAACUACUUUGAAAUGAAUCGACUAAAUAUCUUCUUGCAGUGUCAACUAUAGUUGCUCCUUGUUACUGUUAAGAACUUCCUUCCUGUUAGGUUCUUUCUUGCUUUUAGAGUUAAAGAUGACAUAAUCUUUUGCUAGACAUAUGACUAUAUCUUCAUGAAAUUGGAUAAAGAGGAUUCUUUUAUUGGAAAAGUAACUAAUGUAGCUAAAUCUUUCUUCUAUUUUUAAUUUUAGUUAGGUUUCCCAUUAUGUUUUGUUGCCUCUUUAUAAAAUUAUGAUGUAAUGCUCUCACCCAUCUCAUUUUCCUUGAAAACUAUCUUUUCUACUAGAUAUAAUGUCAACGCUUGAUAAUUUAGUUGGCGGUGCAGCCCCACCCCCUAUGAUGAUAUGAUGUAGUCAUAGUAGUCUUUUGGUGGUAAAGAUGUUAAGAUCCACCCAUGAUUCAUGAAACCAUUCCUUUCCGUGCCAUAGCUUAAGAUUUGUGCUAUUGCUAUUGUUUAGGGGUGGAGAAGAAUGAAUAAAGAUAGGGCAUCAACAUUGGCAUCAGCUAAAGCAGAAGAAGGUGAACUGAUUGAAAGCUUGAUUUGCAGCAAAUCUGACCUGACUUUACUCUAAUAAUGACUUUGGAAUCGACAUAUGAGAUUCAUUUUUUAAAUUGAAAACUAAUGGUGGAUCUUCCCCUAUUUGUACUUUUUUUUUCAAUAGACCUAUAUGCUAUAAAAAGUAUACAAGGCGAGGUUUUCUAUAUCAGCCAAGGGAGUUUCUUUUCUCUGGUUGUAGAUAAGCUCCAUCUUUUGUAUGAGUGGUUUAUUCUUUCUUGAUAGGCCCAUCGCCUUGCCAGUGCCUCUUAUUACCCUUCUCAACAGUGGCAUUUUCGUGUACCUAGUCCUAAUUCUCGUCAAGUGUUUGUGGAAAUCAAAAACCUUCUCCCAAUAGUUCACAGAUAAUCUACUUAAUACAAAGUAUAAGGAAAGCAUGCAAAAUUCCUGGCUGGAAAGCUAGGGGGGUAUAGUGUAAAAGAAGAAAGUUGGGUAUAGGUGAAAGCUAAUGCUAAUUAGGUCGAAAGCUAGUGACAGCCUUUAGAAAUCUUUUAGUCUUACACAAGGGUAAAGGCUUUCUAACCAGGGCCACCAAGGAAUCCAACAGAUCGGGCAAGGAAGGAAUCCCUGCAAACAGGAAAUGAAAUAGUCAAAGUUUGAUUUGCCAAGGCAGGAAGGAGUACAUCAACUCUGGAGAAUACUGCAGCACUCAGAAUGGCUUAACUAUUUAUGGGUAGGCAACUACAAUUGGAAUGGGUCCAUAAGAAAAAAGAAUUGAAGGGUUUGGUUGGAAGUCAUUUUCCUUAAGGCAAGUUUCCCCCUUUGUGAUGAAUCAGUAAGAAAAGUUACUUAUGGCACUGGUGGGGAAAGGCUUAUGGAUGGAAGCGCUUAUGAUAGGCCUAACAGUCUCGUAGAUAAAUUAUAAUGUAAAAUGUCUUAUUUAUGUAAGUAUAAUUAAUAAUAAUUGUAAAUUAUUAUUUGAUCCACAAAUUUGAUAUAAAGUAAAUUCAAAUAUAAUGCUCCAUACACUAUUUACUAGUACAAGAUAAGAUUCAUGAAAAGAGUUAAGUCAACAACCACCCUUGUUAGUAGAUAGCUAUUAUUUGAUAGUAUGUGAGUAGAAUUGAAAUUAUGAGCGAUUCUAGCCGAGAAACCACACAAAAAUAAACAAAUGGAGGAACAAGCCAACUCAUAAUUCAUAAAUUAAAGGCUAACUAAAGAAAGCAUAUUGGUAUAUGGGACACUUGUUUAAUUUUCAUUGGAAAUUAGUCAACCAAAUAUUUCUUUUGUCUUCUGCCUGAACAGUUUGACAUGCGGUGAUAUUUAUUGGCUCCAAAUCUAUAGUUAUAGAAAUAAUAUUGAAAUAAUACUAAAAGAACAAGCAUGCAAGAAAAGUAAGCAUUUGAUCAGAUCAAUCAAGAGAUAAGGUGUUAACCAAACAUUUAUUUUUUAAGUUAGGAUAGAGCUGGCGAGUUUCAUCAUGUAGUUGGGUAUAAAUAAGCCAGUAAAAGAAAAGUAUAAACCAGUAAACGAGGAGUAGUAAAAGAAAAGUAUAAACCAGUAAAUGAGGAGUAGUAAGGCUAUAACGAAGCCAUUGAAGUUAAAUAAGGACGGAUCACAUGGUUUUGUAAUAGUCAGUUUUGAGCUAUCAAGUACAAAUUACUCUAGAGUUUUGGAAGACCCUACUUUAUUAUUAAAAGGAUAGUAAUCUCUUAUGUCUGAUUAUAAUUGGCGCCUAGUUUCUCUAUUAUUAUUCUAUUAUGCUCUAUUAUUGUGUUUUGUUCUUGAAAUGAUAGUAUUAUGCUCUAUUGUGUUUUAUUCUUGAAAUGAUAGGGUUUAAUUCAUGUGGCAAUACUAGCAAAAAAACCAAAGGACUAUCAUUUUUUGGAGUGAGCCUUUUGUAUUGAACUUGUAACAGGGAAAAAACAAUUAUUCAGCGCAUUAAAAUCUAGCGGAUCUGGUUCACUAUUAAUGAAAAAGUUGAAGUAAUCCUUAUUAGAGAACCAAGAUAAGCAUUUUUAGUAAUAAUAAGAAAGGGUUAAAGGCCUUGGAUGCCUAUAAAUAAAAGUUUUUUUCAUUCUUUGUUUGGCGAAUAAACAUGUAGAUGACAAAUAAAAGAAAUAUAUAUUGCUGGAAGACUUUCAACAAGCUCUAACAGAAGCAGUCAUUAGGUUUGUUUUGGUAGCAUCCUUGAAAGUUGUGGGACAAAAGAUGUUAUCGAUCCUGGACCACAUUCGUGGCCUAAAAGAUAGGAAUAGAGCCUUACUCAACAAAAAAGAAAGUGAUCAUUGUGUGGGCUUCAUCCUAGGUUACCGAGGAGACUAGAAAAGUCUGUCAACUCUUUUUAGUUUUAUAAGGUUUAAAUUAAAUAAGUGUUUGUAUACGUUUGUUUCUAUGUUCGGUCUGUAGAUGUUUGUUUUCGUACCUAGCGUUAAAGGCAAGGAACUUUAUAAUCAAUCUUAGACAUGGUAAUAAGUGUCUGACUGUCUGUAGACGUUUGUUUUCAUGUCUGGUUUGUAGACAUUUGUUUUCAUGUCUAGCAUAAGAGGCAAGGAACUUUCCGAUCGACCCUUGACAUGGUUCAAGGCCAA
Durio zibethinus is the source of this 4099-nucleotide non-coding RNA. The record is from RefSeq and is a predicted model, not a curated record. NCBI's taxonomy places the organism in Eukaryota, Viridiplantae, Streptophyta, Magnoliopsida, Malvales, Malvaceae.